RNAcentral lists this ribosomal RNA (64 nucleotides) under uncultured archaeon. Its description in RNAcentral is "partial 16S ribosomal RNA". The record is from RNAcentral.
AAAGCCUUGACCAUUGUCAAGGCACUCAGGUUCCCCGUGUCGCGCUUGCGCGCAUUGCACAGUU